Molecule: ribosomal RNA, 303 nt
Filed under: uncultured bacterium
Lineage: Bacteria
Description: partial 16S ribosomal RNA
Rfam family: Bacterial small subunit ribosomal RNA
Source: RNAcentral
AGCAGUAGCCGCGGGAAUACGUAGGGUGCGAGCGUUAAUCGGAAUUACUGGGCGUAAAGCGUGCGCAGGCGGUGAUGUAAGACAGUUGUGAAAUCCCCGGGCUCAACCUGGGAACUGCAUCUGUGACUGCAUCGCUGGAGUGCGGCAGAGGGGGAUGGAAUUCCGCGUGUAGCAGUGAAAUGCGUAGAUAUGCGGAGGAACACCGAUGGCGAAGGCAAUCCCCUGGGCCUGCACUGACGCUCAUGCACGAAAGCGUGGGGAGCAAACAGGAUUAGAUACCCCCGUAGUCCCUGUCUCUUAUAA